Regulatory RNA element from Dialister sp. CAG:357, 100 nucleotides. It matches the Rfam family "folP RNA". The record is from Rfam. Lineage: Bacteria; Bacillati; Bacillota; Negativicutes; Veillonellales; Veillonellaceae.
UACAUGGAGGAAAUGCCAUGAGAUAGAAUUUCUAUCUGGUCAAAUUGAUGAUUAUUUCCCUGAUUAUCAAUUGGGCUGCGGACUAUGCAUACUCCUCAAU